CCGCCCUGUUUUUGUGAUCCUCUUUGAAAACCCCCGGGAUUUCGGAGAAACGGCCAGUGAAGCGGUAACAGCUCAGAUUUGAAAUCCGGCCUCGGCCCUUUUUGUAAUUCGUAGAGGAUGCUUUUGGCGCGGGGCCUUUUGAGUUCCCUGGAACGGGACCCCAUANAGGGUGAGAGCCCCGUACGGUUGGACGCCAAGCCUCUGUAAAGCUCCUUCGACGAGUCGAGUANUUUGGGAAUGCUGCUCAAAAUGGGAGGUAAAUGCCUUCUAAAGCUAAAUACUGGCCAGAGACCGAUAGCGCACAAGUAGAGUGAUCGAAAGAUGAAAAGCACUUUGAAAAGAGGGUUAAAUAGCACGUGAAAUUGCUGAAAGGGAAGCGCUCAUGACCAAGACGUGUGCCUUGUGAAUCAUCCAGCGUUCUCGCUGGUGCACUUCGCCUGGUACAGGCCAGCAUCGAUUUCUCCAGGGGGAUAAAGGCCUCGGGAACGUAGCUCCUCCGGGAGUGUUAUAGCCCGUGGCAUAAUAUCCUUGGGGGGAUCGAGGUCCCGCGCUCCGCAAGGAUGCUGGCGUAAUGGUCAUCAGCGACCCGUCUUGAAACACCGACCAAGGAGUCAAGCAUUACGGCGAGUGCUUGGGUGUCAAACCCGCACGCGAAAUGAAAGUGAACGCCAGGUGGAGAGCUUCGGGCGCAUCAUCCACCGAUCCUGAUGUAUUCGGAUGGAUUUUGAGUAAGAACCCUUACCCGUUUGGACCCCAAAAAUGGUGAACUAUUGCCUGGAUAGGGUGAAGCCCGAGGAAACUCUUGGUUGGAGGCUCCCAACGUUCUGACCGUGCAAAAUCCAUCGUCAAAAUCUGGGCAUUGGGGGGCGAAAAAACUAAUCGAAACCUCUAGUUAUCUUGGUUACCCCCGAAGUUUCCUCAGGAUACACGGUGGAUUCAGUUAUGAAGGUAAACCAAUGAUUAGGACUCGGGGCCUUUUAACCUUAAUCCUUUUAAACUUAAAUGUAAGAACCCUUGUACUUAAUGACGUGGCAUCAAAGCACACUGGGCAUUUUGUAAACAAACUGGCAUCCGGAGACCCACCCG
This 1086-nucleotide ribosomal RNA is filed under the name Submersisphaeria aquatica. RNAcentral's name for it is "eukaryotic LSU rRNA". It matches the Rfam family "Eukaryotic large subunit ribosomal RNA", at positions 1 to 1171 of the family's 3401-position model. Lineage: Eukaryota; Fungi; Ascomycota; Sordariomycetes; Annulatascales; Annulatascaceae. The record is from RNAcentral.